Molecule: long non-coding RNA, 586 nt
Organism: Triticum aestivum (bread wheat)
Lineage: Eukaryota; Viridiplantae; Streptophyta; Magnoliopsida; Poales; Poaceae
Exons: 2
Source: RefSeq, a predicted model, not a curated record
CGUGUGGCGACUGCGCACCAAUCUCGCUGCAUAUCUUCGUCCAUAAAUACAGCCCCCGAGCGAGCCGAGCCUCCAAGCCAAGUCAAGUAGUACAAACAAAGCUCUCUAUCACGAAUUCGAUCAGGAUCAUCCUCCAUCAGUCGAGGCUCGAGAGUGCGUGCUUCAGUUCAACAGGUCCUCACUACGAGAAUGAGCUCCUCGGACGACGCCUGCGGCAAGAAGGCGUCGUGGCCGGAGCUGGUUGGCAAGUCCAUCGAGGAGGCCAAGAAGAUCAUCAUGAAGGACAGGCCGGACGUGAAGAUCAUCGAGGUCUUCCCGGUCGGCACCGCCGUGACCGAGGACUUCAGGCCCGACCGUGUCCGCAUCUUCGUCGACACCGUCGCGGAGACCCCCCGCAUUGGCUAGCUUUGAUUCAUGCUCCACCGUUUUAUGUGUGUGCGUGUGUUUGUGUGUGUUAUAUUCCUGAAUAAACCAUAGCUAGUGACUAGUGAGUAGUGCCAUGUAUGCAUACUACUCCUAGCUAUGUCGAUCGCCAUGUAAGAAUUAAUAAUUAAUAAAGUUUUUUAUGGGAAAUAAUUAAGGUUGA